Molecule: ribosomal RNA, 484 nt
Filed under: uncultured bacterium
Lineage: Bacteria
Description: partial 16S ribosomal RNA
Rfam family: Bacterial small subunit ribosomal RNA
Source: RNAcentral
AUUGAACGCUGGCGGCAGGCCUAACACAUGCAAGUCGAGCGGAUGAAGGGAGCUUGCUCCUGGAUUCAGCGGCGGACGGGUGAGUAAUGCCUAGGAAUCUGCCUGGUAGUGGGGGAUAACGUCCGGAAACGGGCGCUAAUACCGCAUACGUCCUGAGGGAGAAAGUGGGGGAUCUUCGGAUCUCACACUAUCAGAUGAGCCUAGGUCGGAUUAGCUAGUUGGUGGGGUAAAGGCCUACCAAGGCGACGAUCCGUAACUGGUCUGAGAGGAUGAUCAGUCACACUGGAACUGAGACACGGUCCAGACUCCUACGGGAGGCAGCAGUGGGGAAUAUUGGACAAUGGGCGAAAGCCUGAUCCAGCCAUGCCGCGUGUGUGAAGAAGGUCUUCGGAUUGUAAAGCACUUUAAGUUGGGAGGAAGGGCAGUAAGUUAAUACCUUGCUGUUUUGACGUUACCAACAGAAUAAGCACCGGCUAACUUCGUG